This 8917-nucleotide unclassified non-coding RNA is filed under the name Anthonomus grandis grandis. RNAcentral describes it as "phosphofurin acidic cluster sorting protein 1". The record is from RNAcentral. Lineage: Eukaryota; Metazoa; Arthropoda; Insecta; Coleoptera; Curculionidae.
AGAAUUUUGUUUUGAUUGUACGCCUUGGGGCUUGGCUCUUUGUACAGUGUUUAUAAUCUUUGUUCUGUGAUUCACCUUCUGUAGUUUUGUAGGAGUAGAAUAGUGAAGUGAGGAAUCCUUAUGAGAAACGCAUCGUAAUUAGAAAAUCUUAUGCAAAUUUCUGCGUCUAAAUUGCGCAUCUAAUGGUAACAACUUUCCCAAGUAGAUUGAGGAUUUGUUAUAAACAAUAUCCUUCCUCGUUUUGUUUAUGCCGCGUAUAGUCUUGUUAAAAAGUUGUUAUAGUGGGGCAUAAAUAAUGACCCUGGUUAAUUAUCAUUUGGGGACUUGAGGGCUCUUAAGAAAUUGAUAAUAAAACCACCCAAAAAUGAGUGAGAAAACUGGGAAAACUUUAGUCGGUGCCGGCGGUACCUCAAUACCGAACAAAAUGCGGCUUUAUGCUACGUGGGUCGAUCGCACCCCACCAAACUGCAUUCCCAGGCUCUGCACUUUAACUUUCACCAGACUUCACAUCCUGAGACCUCUCGGUUCAGAUUUAGCCAGUGUGUCUAUAGCUGUUAAAAUGCAGUCAAGUAAACGCACAUUGAGGUCACAGGAACUGUUGGUGCCCCCUAAUGGUUUACUCGAUACACCCCUUGAUAUCACUUUUAGUGUGCAAUAUCCUCAUUUUCUUAAGAGGGAAGGUAAUAAAUUGCAUAUUUUGCUGCAGAGGAGGAAGAGGUACAAGAAUCGAACUAUGCUUGGGUUUAAGACUUUGGCUGAAGGUGUUAUUAGGAUGGAUCAGGUACUACAGAGACCUCUGGACAUCGAGCUCGACUUAACCACAGAGGGAGGCGGUAAAGACAAAGUCUCUGGACUGGUGGCUCGUCUAUACAUUCUUCAGGUAAGCUCUAACCCGGUUGAUCAACAAGAGCACAAACCUGAUAGAGAACACGAUUUCAGUGACGAAGACGAUGACAUAUCGUCGGGAGAAGAAGAAGUGGGCGAUCUGUCGGAUUGCGAGCCGAUUCGCACGAAAAUGCCGCACACUCGUCAUAAUUUAAAACAGAGAUUCGUCGCGUUACUAAAGAGGUUUAAAGUGCCAGAUGCAGAAGGUGGUCGCGGUCCGGAUCUGGAUAAUCCGAGCGAUAUCCAGGCGUUGUUUCACGAGUUGGAGUCGUUGAGCUGCGACGAGGAUUCCGGCGCGGAACAAGACACCAUGUCUAUAUCGAGCACUCCGAAACCGAGUUUACGUCCAUUUUUUAGUAGCAGUAGAAGUUUGUUGGAGUCAAAUGCUGUUCCUUAUAUUGAGGCUGAACCGAUCGGAGACGAGAAGACUGCAUCCGGAAGCGACGGCAACACCGAUCUCCUCACCGACCCUGAGGCCCAAAGCGACCCCCAAACCGGCUCUCCACCGCGCGAGCACUACUCCUCAAAAAAACACGGCAACGACAACGAUUUAACUGUAAUGUUCCAAGACUUGAGCGAGAAAAAGUCAAAACUGUUUAGGACUUCCGCUUCCGGUGUCAAAAAGAAAAACUCGCUGAGCGUCAGUUCCGACACGCCCACGUUAGAAGUAACUGUGCGCAAAGGUUUCCUGGACCAAAUCUCGAGGCUACUGCCCACGGAGGAAAACUCACUUCCGGAGUGUAUCACGUUGAUUUCCGGUCCGGAAAACGUCGCCUCGGCCAUAUCGAAUAAGCUCGGGUCCGUUCAGCCGAAUUUUCGGGUUUUUCAGCCAACUUCCCAUAUGGAAGUUAAGGCCGUUCUAGUCGCUUUAUUCUCGAAGAUACAGAAAUAUUGCAACAGUUGUGCGAAACCGUCGACUCCAAUAAAACUCCUUCUGGUGGGAGGAGAUUCUUUGGUCGGUUGGUUCGUGCGGCCGUUUGUGGAAUCGUUAUCCAGUAAACCGCCGGAAUGGUUGUCGUUUAUUUCCGUCUUUAUCGCACCGCUGGGCGGUUGCGGGGUGUGUCGACAUUUGGCUGCUCUGGAUCCCGCUUACUUCUCACUCUUUCCCAACGAAAUCGAUACGAAACCCGACGAGAUUGCUCAGAGAUUAAUUAGAUAUACGUCAGCAUCACCCGCUGCCCCGGCAGCCCACUUGCCCAUCGGCGAAGCCAUGUUAACCUGUUACGAUGAAACUAGUCAGCUCUUUAUUCCUUUUAUACACGAAGUUCGUGUCGGUCCGGCGGAACAAACGAUCUCAACGUCAGUAGACAUGGACGAGGUAUGCCUGAGUCCUCCUUCGGCCCCCUCUCUCACUCCACCCUCUUCGCCCAACGUGCAGAUCAGGGAGUCCCCUUGGGAACCUUUGGAACUCCAAAUUGACUAUUGGCAAAUGCCGAAGUGUAAUGACAAUAUUAUUAAGACUGAUAAGGAUAAACCGAAACAAGAUGGAAAAAUAUCACUUAAAGGAGUGUUUCGGGGAUUGCAAGCCACCCCGAGCAACGUAUCAGGCCUAUGUGUAAAUAUUUAUAUAACCAGCAAGGAAAAGAAGCAGAAAAUAAUGCGAUUAGGUAAGAAAAAAGAGAAAGAAAGAGAACCAGAGCCCCGUUGCCAGAAUGUGGAGGGAGUGUCCAGGCUGAUAUGUUCCGCCCGGGCCUCGCAUACUACUCCGAUGAGAGUUACUAUCGACGGGGUGGAAUUCAACGGUGUCAAGUUCUUCCAACUGAGCUCCACUUGGCAGACCCACGUGAAACAGUUGACCGUCUCGCUGAUCGGAAUCCCGCUGGCCAGUACCGAGAUCAAUUGAACCGACGCCGACGCUUACUACGCUGCUCGCACGAGACUACUCCCCCUUUCUAUAUCUUUAAAUUGCUCUUUAAUAAGAUAUUAAAUGCUCAACGAUAUCGGACGUGUUAAUAAAUUGAUUAAACUAUGGGAAUGUGAUCGAUGUGGUAGGUUUAGUGUGGGAGUGUUUAGGUUUAUUUUUUUUUUGUAAGAAGGUUGUUUAUGUGAGGCAUCGAAAUCUGGAUAAGAAAUGGUUUCGUUUUUUGUUUGUGUCUAUGGAAAUUAGGCAAAAAAAAUCCUUUAAAUUACACUUUUUUUGAGGCAUGUCUUAAAAAAAUAUAUACGUAUACAGUAGUGGAAAAAAGUUUGGAAACUUUUUAAGAUGAUAAGUAUCUUUGGUUUCUGUCUAUUAUUGCAGCCUACACAUUUAUUUGGAAUCUGACUUAAUAUUAAUUUAUUUCUUAAAAAAAAAAUCAUUUUGUUUAGAGUUUUUGCUUUUAAAUAAGGAAUUUUUAAGUAAAGGUUGGAAAUAAGUAUGGAACUCUUAUUAUCUCAUAAAAAAUUAAGUUAUAUAAUAUUCUUUAGCAUCUAAGACUGCCCUGGCAUCUUUUACCCAGAGAGUCAACUAAUUUUUGUUUUUGCAAAGGAAUUUGCAUUCCUUUUAAUUUUACGAUAUUAAACAAAUGAAUCCUAUAAAAGCAAAAUCCAACAAAUCUACUUUUAGAAAAUUUUAGGAAAUGAGAAAAAACGAUAAGGAGAAGUUAAAAGCUCAAUAUCUUUUUAAGUUUCUUUAUAUACAUAAAGCAAGUAAUCAAGCAUCUAAUUUUGAAUAAUUCAACCUGGAAAAACCUCUUAGUGUAAAGUUAUUUGAAAUUAAUUUUUUUUUGUCGGGUUUUAAAACUGACCAUAGUGGAUUUGUCGUAUUUUGUAAAAAAAAAACUUUUGUUUUUGAAAUACGUAUUUUAUUACGGAAAAAUUUAACAAACAUAGAUACUUAUACUGACAUUAUUUAAAAAAUACUUUAAACUAACAAAUCACUUGAAUAAGGCAUGUUUUUACACAAAUUCUCUUCAUUUUCUGGAAUUUCCAUGUUCUCCAGAUUUUCCAAUUCGUAUUUUUCAAGAAUAUUCUUAUAGUAUUCCAAUUCAUUCAGUUCUUUUCAUUUAUCUGCAUAAUGUCUGGUGAGGAGUGUUUGGACAUCCUUUAGCUUUUUAGGAUUUUGCCGCAUACCGUUUAGGACUAAUACUGGUUUUAUGUCGGUUGGUGACUUGCCCUUUUUUAAGACUGAUUUGAAAACACCCAGAUCUGAUUUAUAGGACUGCUCUCCCCGAAUCGUAACCUGUCCAAAACUAGUGCGAUUCAAUAUGUACCUCUUGCAUGCAUUAAAUGAGAAGUGCCAAUGUCAAGUAGGUUUUACUGUUUCCUUACAAGCUUUCUUCCAUAAACUUUACCGUGAUCAGCAAAAAUAUUUAGGUACUGUUCUAUGGAGACUAAGACUUCUUCUUUUUUUAUAUUUUUUUGAAUUCGAGCUAACACACGAUCUGCAGGGAGAAAAGAAUGAACAACUGGAAAGAUAAUUUCUAAUUUUGAGACUGACUGAGGAGCCUUCUGACUAAGCCACAUGGUACAUAUUAUAAUUAAAGUAGAGUUUUUAUUCUGACCUGCACAUCCGUCAGCAACAAGUCUUACUUUAUUUCUAUUCCUAAGGUCUAGUUGACAAAGUUGGUAAAAAACAGCACUUGCUAUUUCAUUUGAUCCCUUAUGGUAUUCGUCUUCAGUCCAAGCAUAAAUUGACAGAUUAUUUUUAGUGAGGGGUGAAUGUGAACUGCCAGUAAUAAUGGUAAAAUUGUAAAUAUAAAGCUGGCGGCUAUAAUAAACUGAUUGGUCAGGAAUCUUUGGUAGGACUUGAUUCUUCUGGCAAUCAAAUGAUAUUGUAAUUAGUUCAGGUUUUUCUUCUUUUAAAUGGUCAAAGAAAGCCUUGGCGCGUAAUUUAUGUACAUGUCUUUCCGUGAUUAGUUAAUUUUUUUUAUUUUCGUCUUUCUCAUUUUUAAUUUUUUCUGUUAAUUGAAGACACACGGAAUACACAUCAGUGCGGGGUGAACCAAAGCCAAUGUUGUAAUUGGUAUUAAAUAUCAUUGCAAAAUAACUUUUUUUUUUAACAAGGAGGGUUGGUAUUUCGUUCAUUUUUUGACAGUAUAGUCUCCACAUCUUUGAAAUACUAAGUGUUGAGGGUAAAUAUUUGCGGUUAGUUCUGUUUUGGCAAUAAUGAGACUCGAUUACCUUAAAACUUUCAAUGAAUUUCAUUACUGACUCUUUUUUCGCACUAUAUUUUCAAGAAAUUCUGUCAAGAUUCUUUAAACCUCUUUAAAACCCCAUUAAUCCGAUCUUUACCAACUGCCAAAAUUUUAGUAAAUGCAAUCCUGCAAACUGGAACCAGUUUUAAAGUAUUGGCCUUGGGAAUAUUAUAAAUAACUGAAAAACUUCUUUUAGACGCGCCCUUUUCAUUUUGGGUCCUUUUGCGUUUAAUAUCUCUAAUCAGGCAGUGCUUUAAAAUUAGGUUGUCUUGCUCAAUUUUAGUUUCGUGAAGAUGAAAAGUUUUAUGAAAAUUUGAAACAUCGUACAUUGACAAUGAACUGCAACGAUACGAUUUUGUCGCGUGUUUACAUUUUGGAUACUCCGGCAAACUUUUAUUCUUGUAUCUAGAAUAUUGAAUAUAUAAGCACUGUCAAUAAGUUAAAAAAAAAAACUUACCUCUCAUUUUGUUCUCGUUUUCUCUUCCAAGUUUCUGGUUUAGCCACUUUUUCCUUGCUAAGAGAGGCAUCGUAGGUUUUCAUAGAGUUUUAGGCACUUAAAACUUAUUAUUUAAUAAAAAAAUUGGCAAUAAUUAAAUAAAAGUACAAAAUACUAUUGUUCGAGUCCGCGAACAACGUUAUACUAACAAACAUUGUAAAAAAUUCGCGCGUAAAAUUAUUAUUGUUAUGUGGACGCCGGGAGCGCCGUGAUUGGUCGAAAUGGAUUUGGCGGAUUUUGAAACUAUAGCCAAUAUUCUACUUUAAAUUUGAACGUAUUUUGACGGUUUUUGAUACCACAAACCUAUUUAAAUCUGCAGAUUUUUUUUAUGUAAACAGUUCAAAACAAUAGCCUCGUCUUUGACCAAAAGUGGAUUUGUCGGGUUUUGCUUCUAUAAACUUUCCAUAAAGACCUCCAUUAUGUAGAUGGUUUCUUAUGCUUUAACCCGUACCCGUUAAUAGGAAAUUGUUCCGAGAUUUCAUUUAUAAUUUACCUGAAAUUAGUUUUUUUGGGGUCAAGUUUCGAGGUCCUUAAAAUAGUUUUUUUAAAUUCCGAAAUUAGUCUUACGAGGUCUUCGGUGCAUCCCUUGCAUCACCACAACUAUCAUUUUUUUACAAUUAUUUUCAUUACAGCACUUUUAGGAAUAUUGAGAGAUUCUGCAACCAACGACCUUUUUCUUCCACCACAAACGGUGUCUUGGCAUGAUAAGUUAAUUAAUUAAUUGGUUAACACAAUAUUUAAUCAGUAGAAAUAGCCACCAUAAUUUUUUUUUAAUACAAUUCUUUUUUUUUAGACUUAUGAUUAUGUAUUAGAAAAAGACAAACUUAUGCCAAUAACAAUGUGUAACGCAAAGAAAGAUAUAAGCAUAAACAAAAUAAUAUUAUUAAAUUUAAUAUCUGAUGUUUUGUCUUAAACAGAAGUACGGAGCAUCAACUUUUUUUUUAAAAAACAAUCCUGGCAACUAAAGAUAAUGUGUUAUAGAAAAUGACAGAUUUAUGCCAAUCACACAAGACAAAGAAAGAUAUGGUAAAAUGUUUUUUUUUUAACAAAAUAUAAUUUUUAUUAAAUUUAAAAUCCGACGUUUCGGCUUUGUCAAGAGCCAUCAUUAUAUUUUUCCAUGAAGUUUUAAGAGUAAGAGUCCCGAAUCUUAAACUUUGGAAGUUGGACGCGUACCAAUUGCACAAAACUAAAAAAUACUUUAACAAUGCCUUUUUUUUAUAAAUUAUACCAUAUGACAAAAUGGACUUUGGCAAUUAUUUUCUUAUGAAUUUGUACGGAAAAAAUAUUUUGAAUUAUUUACGGUUUUGUUUUUACACAUUGUAAAUCUCAAAUUUUAAGCUUGAAUAGUUAGACGCGUACAAAUUGCACAAAAGUACAAAAAUUUUAAGCUUUGAUAGUUGGUCGCGUACAAAUUGCACAAAAGUAAAAAAUUUACUUUGACAAUGAUUUUUUUAUAAAUUAUAAUAAAAUAAAUACAGCAGACAGGGAACUUGGACGGGUACAAAUUGCAUGGCAUUUUUUUAAAAAUUAAUUACAGUAAUUUUUCUCCUACACAUUCUCGUAGUUUCAAAUUGUGAACUUUGGAAGUUGGACGCAUACACAUUACACAAAAUUACAAAAUUACCUUUGACAAUGAUUUUUUUAUUAUGAAGUUAUACUAUAGUAAAAUUUGCAUGGAAAAUAUAUUUUGAAUGAUUGAGUCAUGUUUCUACACAUUGUAAGAGUCCCAAAUUUGAAGCUUUGAUAGUUGGACGUGUACAAAUUACACAAAACUAACAAAUUGACUUUAGCAACAAUUUUUUUUAUAAAUUAUACCAUACAAGAAAAUAAAUCCAGCAGAGCAGAAAGUUCGAUGGGUGCAAAUUACAUCGAAAAAAAUACUUUGAAUAAAUUAGAGUCGUCUUUAAUUUACUCAUUGUAAAGGUUCCAAAUUUUAAACUUUGAAAGUUGGACGGUUACAAAUUGCACAAAACUAAAGCAUUUAACAAAAUAAAUGCAGCAGACCAGGAAGUUGAACGGGUACAAAUUGCAUGGAAAAAUAUUUCGAAUUCAUUACAGUCAUCUUUAUUUUACUCAUUGUCAAAGUUGCAUAUUUUAAACUUUGAAAGUUGGGCGGUUACAAAUUGCACCAAACUAAAAAAUUCACUUUAAGGAUGAUUUUUUAAUAAAUUAUACUAUAUCAAAAAAAUAAAUAAAGCAAACCAGGAAGUUGGACGGGUACAAAUUGCAUAAAAGUAAGGAAUUGAUUUUGACUUAUUAGAUAUUCGUGGAAUUGUUAAGACUUAUUCAGCAAUUGGGUUAGAAAGGGAGCUUAAAACCUAAAAGGCUUUAUGGUUAUAUAAAACUAUACUGAAUCCAAAGCUCACCUGCAAGUUAUAGGGUUUUAUUUGUAACUUUUGUUUUGUUUCUACACUGUUCUUCAAAAAUAGUUUAUUUUUUUAUAUUAUCGUUUUGUACUCUGUUUUUCCAUUUUUCAUGAAUUUUUUCUCUGUUCAUUUUAAAGUGGAUACUGAAAAACAGGAAAAAAUAUUUUGAAUCACAAUAAAUAAAUACCCUUAAAAAUACUUAGGAAUGCCAUUUUUUAGUACAUAACCUCAGAUACCUCUAAAUCUUACUGUAAAUUAAUUUCCAUGUAGCAGGGAAAAAGUUGCAAAUAAUACAAUUUUUCCAAAAUUGUUGGUAUCAGUCUGUAUAUUACGGUAUGUUUUAAUAAAAGCUCCUCCGACAUUUUUUCUAAAUAACUAAUAAUAUAAUCCAUUAUAAUAUAAUAUACUUAAUAUAAUUAAAUGCCAAACUAGCAAAUGCUUCUAGCUUCACCCCUUUUAAGCUUUGCAUCCCUUGCGAACAGGAAAGAGUAGUUUUUUACUAUAAUAGGCUCUAUUUAAGUAAUACAAUAUAUUAUUCUUAACAAUAGUGAAUAGUGUUUUUUGCUUUAAUCCAGUUCAAAGGAUACAAUAAUAAUUAUAAUCUUAAUUUGCUCAAGUGAAAACAUCCUAUACCAUAAAAUUUCCAUAAUUUUUUUUUAUCCAGAUUACGAUGCAAUUCAACCAUAAUCUUAUGAACGAUAAUCGAACGAAUGUCUCGUUAUAUUUUGUGAUAUUUUCAAUCCUGAAUCGCGCAUAUCUUACUCGAUAUGAAAAUAUAGGAGGAAACUCUCGUGUUAUUCACCUUAUUAAUAAUAUAUUUAUAUCGUAGUAUGUACUAGACACGCCUAUUCGUUGAAUGAUAUUAAAUAAGUUCGCAUGGGUGCAAUAUUUAGCCAAAAAAAAAAGAGAAAAUACAUCCAUUGUGCGCAAUAAGUAGUAUUCCAGAAAAAAAAAUGUGUUAUUAUGUAUAUGUACUAAUUUAUGUGCUAGCUUUUAAGGUAACGUUUUUUUGUAUAUAUGCGAUGUGUUGAAUAAAAAGGACGCAGUGAGUCACA